GAAUUUCCUCCCUGAAAAAUGUGAUUUUAGACGCACAUCAACUUUAGUUAAAAGCCGUGGUUAGCCAAUCAAUUUCAAGACCAAAACUCCUACUUUUUCUUUAAUGAUGCGAAAAGGGAGAUAAGACCUUAAUUAAUAACCCAAAUUAAUAUGAUCUGCAAAACAAUAUUUUCAACUUACUUAAUGAACCUGUUGUAAGCAGA
RNAcentral lists this unclassified non-coding RNA (203 nucleotides) under Hevea brasiliensis (rubber tree). Lineage: Eukaryota; Viridiplantae; Streptophyta; Magnoliopsida; Malpighiales; Euphorbiaceae. The record is from RNAcentral.